AGACCUUCGUCCUCAACUAUUCACUCGACACUAGCUCAUCAUAUCUACUGUUCGAUGCUGACUUGUAUUUUUCUUCAUUUACUAUCAACAAAAACUAUGUUUUAUUAUCAUGGAUUAACUCGAGUUCUUCUAAACUUCAGAUGGAACUGAUGAGCAGCAAGAUAGAGGUCAAGGCUCAAUCAGGAACUGGGAACGUAAAAGACCACCUGAGCAACAUGAAGCUCAUGAGAUGCCACUAUUACGUCGAGCAUCAAAACGGCCCGUAGAAUACAACUUUU
Belonocnema kinseyi is the source of this 278-nucleotide long non-coding RNA. RefSeq lists it as uncharacterized. The transcript has 3 exons. The record is from RefSeq and is a predicted model, not a curated record. Lineage: Eukaryota; Metazoa; Arthropoda; Insecta; Hymenoptera; Cynipidae.